AUUGAACGCUGGCGGCAUGCCUUACACAUGCAAGUCGAACGGUAACAGGUCUUCGGAUGCUGACGAGUGGCGAACGGGUGAGUAAUACAUCGGAACGUGCCUAGUAGUGGGGGAUAACUACUCGAAAGAGUGGCUAAUACCGCAUGAGAUCUACGGAUGAAAGCAGGGGAUCGCAAGACCUUGUGCUACUAGAGCGGCCGAUGGCAGAUUAGGUAGUUGGUGGGAUAAAAGCUUACCAAGACGACGAUCUGUAGCUGGUCUGAGAGGACGAUCAGCCACGCUGGGACUGAGAAACGGCCCAGCCUCCUACGGGAGGCAGCAGUGGGGAAUUUUGGACAAUGGGCGCAAGCCUGAUCCAGCAAUGCCGCGUGCAGGAUGAAGGCCUUCGGGUUGUAAACUGCUUUUGUACGGAACGAAAAGCCCCGGGUUAAUACCCUGGGGUCAUGACGGUACCGUAAGAAUAAGCACCGGCUAACUACGUGCCAGCCGCCGCGGUAA
This 498-nucleotide ribosomal RNA is filed under the name uncultured bacterium. Its description in RNAcentral is "partial 16S ribosomal RNA". It matches the Rfam family "Bacterial small subunit ribosomal RNA", at positions 30 to 523 of the family's 1533-position model. The record is from RNAcentral.